This 863-nucleotide ribosomal RNA is filed under the name uncultured bacterium. RNAcentral's name for it is "bacterial SSU rRNA". It matches the Rfam family "Bacterial small subunit ribosomal RNA", at positions 22 to 906 of the family's 1533-position model. The record is from RNAcentral.
GCUCAGGAUGAACGCUGGCGAGAUGCCUUACACAUGCAAGUCGUACGAGAAUUUUUAAUUCAAGUGGCGGACGGGUGAGUAACACGUAAGAAUUUGCCUUUAGGAGGGGGACAACAACUGGAAACGGUUGCUAAUACCCCAUAUGCUUUUUAUUCUUUGGAGUGAAAUAGUGAAACGGAUUUUUCCGCCUAGAGAGAAGCUUGCGGCUGAUUAGCUUGUUGGUAAGGUAAUGGCUUACCAAGGCGACGAUCAGUAUCUGGUUUGAGAGGACGAUCAGACACACUGGAACUGAGACACGGUCCAGACUCCUACGGGAGGCAGCAGUGGGGAAUUUUCCGCAAUGGGCGAAAGCCUGACGGAGCAAUCUCGCGUGAGGGAUGACUGCCUAUGGGUUGUAAACCUCUUUUUUCAGGGAGGGACAAAAUGACGUGUACCUGAAGAAUAAGCAUCGGCUAACUCCGUGCCAGCAGCCGCGGUAAGACGGAGGAUGCAAGUGUUAUCCGGAAUCACUGGGCGUAAAGCGUCUGUAGGUGGUUUAAUAAGUCAACUGUUAAAUCUUGAAGCUCAACUUCAAAAUCGCAGUCGAAACUAUUAGACUAGAGUAUAGUAGGGGUAAAGGGAAUUUCCAGUGGAGCGGUGAAAUGCGUAGAGAUUGGAAAGAACACCGAUGGCGAAGGCACUUUACUGGGCUAUUACUGACACUCAGAGACGAAAGCUAGGGUAGCAAAUGGGAUUAGAUACCCCAGUAGUCCUAGCCGUAAACAAUGGAUACUAGAUGUUGAACAGAUCGACCUGUGCAGUAUUAAAGCUAACGCGUUAAGUAUCCCGCCUGGGAAGUAUGCUCGCAAGAGUGAAACUCAAAU